Long non-coding RNA from Carassius auratus (goldfish), 1869 nucleotides. RefSeq lists it as uncharacterized. The transcript is spliced from 6 exons. NCBI's taxonomy places the organism in Eukaryota, Metazoa, Chordata, Actinopteri, Cypriniformes, Cyprinidae. The record is from RefSeq and is a predicted model, not a curated record.
GCCUGUGGUUCCAACACAUGAUCGUGACCCUUUUUCCUUGGGAUUGCAUCAUCCUUAAGAAAUAAACGAUACGCAAAUCAAAAAGAUUUAUAUGAAGAAAAAAAAAUUUGUGGUGACAUUUCAUCCACCUCCAUUUCCCAUGGUGCACUCCUUCAUUUCUAGAGCCUGGAGGAUGAAGAAAAUAUUAUUGCAGACCUAGACCAAGCCCUUGCUGCUGCAGAAGGUUCCAUUGAGAAAUAGAAUCUCUUCCUCCAGGCAGUCUCAGUCAAGAUGGCUACAUAAAGUUUCACUUAAAGAACACAAUGCACAAUUUAAACAACAUAUACAAUUAAAUAUAUUAGGGCUGCACGAUUAUGACAAAAAUCAUAAUUGUUAAUUAUUCCCUUGAAAUUGUGAUUGCUAUUUAAUAAUUAUGAUUAUCCCAGUUAGCAUUGAAUUAUGUUUAUACAAUUGUUUGAUGCAACUGCAUGCCAUAUUUUUAUAUGAAAAUAAACAAGCUGAAAACACUCUUAACUAAUUGGAUUGGUUUCUUCUAUGAAUUACAAAAAAGUAAAUUAUUAUAAUGUUAUACUACAACUAAAACUAAAACAAUGGAAAAGCCCUUAAGAAAAAAAAACAUAUCUUAAGCAUGGAGAAUAACAUAAGUGGACUUUGAACAAUUAAUUGCCGCUUUGAACAAUUAUGUAAUUUUAGCAUUCAUAAUUGUAAUUGCGAUUAGAAAUUUGAUUAAUUGUGCAGCCCUAAAAUAUAUGAAAGAUCAAUGAUAACAGCAGCAUGAUUCCUUCAGUGCAGCUUGCAGUAGAUGGAAUUGAUUCUAAGUAAAAUUAUGGCUUGCAUAUUAUUCCAUAACCAGAGUGCAUAAAGAGAAAAAACACUUUUUAACACGCUCUGAAUAAACCCUAGGAACAUUCAAAUGAGUAACAGUAGUUGAUAUAGUAAAGAUGUACUUGAUAUAGUAAUAUGAUAUAAGACUAGAGAUGUAAGUAGUUAGUUUUUUUCCUCACAGUGCCUUUGCAACAAAUAAUAACAUACUAAUUAUCCUUCUGUGAUAUAAGCAGGACCAACCAUAUGAUAUAUAGCAUACAAUGAUGAGUAUGUGAACUAGUAUUGAUUCCAAAAACAUAAUAUACACAGUCCUACUUUUUCUUUUGAAACCAGAUCAGAUUUGGUGUAAUUGUGAAGCAAAUCACUGAGCAAUGUGAUUGCUUGACUUGACAACAUAUGACCACAGUAAUAGUUGAAAUGUUUUGCAGAAAUAAUUUCACAGCAAAUAAUUAAAAAGCCAUGUAUUCUAAGGACAUAACCCUCCAUAUGUAUCAUAUCAUUUGUGAUUAUGUGUUUUUACAAUGUCUCUGUGUCACCCGAGUCUGGCCAUAUUCGAAAUGAGUCCGAAAAUAUCCUGUGAUGCUGAAUUCUGGAGUAAUGACUGGAGUAUUCAUUUAAAUAAAAAUAUUAUAUUAUGUUUUAACUGCAGAUGUGGUUCAUACAGAUCAUGUUUUGACUGUGCAAUUAACUAAAAUCACUCAAAACUACAAUGAAACUAACUUAGGAAGAGCACAAAAACUAGUGAAGGAGGCUGCGGGACAAGGUGCAAAAGUUGUAGUCUUAACUGAGUGCUUCAACUCCCCUUAUGGAACUGGGUUCUUUGCUGAGUAUGCUGAGAAGAUCCCCGGAGAGUCCACAAAGGUGUUGUCGGAGGCAGCCAAGGAUUGUGGGGUCUAUUUAGUGGGCGGUUCCAUUCCUGAGGAGGAAAGCUGUAUAACAGCUGCUUAGUUUUUGGACCUGAUGGAAAGUCACUUGUCAAACACAGAAAAGGGUGAAGUUGACAAAAGCUGGGUCAGAGGAGGCUUCUGUAUAUGCUGACAUAGG